CAGGAAUAUUUUUAUACAUCCAUUGUCUUUUCUCCUCUGACAUCGUGAUAUCCACUUCUUCAAACUCUAUGCGAUUGGCUUCCAGGAACCUCACCACAUCUUGUUGCCUCUUCUUUAUCGCCACCGAGCCCGAGGAGGAGGCGACGAAGACGCGGAUCACCAUCUUCACCUCAUGAGCCGCACCGCGGCCACGGGACGGGGCGAAGGGCAGCGGGGCGACGGGCAGCACGCCGCGGGGACGCCGCUCCGCCGCUCUGGGACCGGGCGCGCCGCUCCACCGCCGCUCACCCGCGGGCAGCCCCGGCUGGCAGCGCCUCCC
RNAcentral lists this long non-coding RNA (319 nucleotides) under Gallus gallus (chicken). The record is from RNAcentral. Lineage: Eukaryota; Metazoa; Chordata; Aves; Galliformes; Phasianidae.